This 783-nucleotide ribosomal RNA is filed under the name uncultured Bacteroidota bacterium. RNAcentral describes it as "bacterial SSU rRNA". It matches the Rfam family "Bacterial small subunit ribosomal RNA", at positions 70 to 854 of the family's 1533-position model. The record is from RNAcentral. Lineage: Bacteria; Pseudomonadati; Bacteroidota.
AGUUGAGUAGUAAUACUUGACCUAGAGCGGCGCACGGGUGCGUAACGCGUAUGCAACCUACCUUUUACUGGGGGAUAGCCCGGAGAAAUCUGGAUUAAUACCCCAUGGUAUCUACGAAUCGAAUGUUUUGUAGCUUAAAGAUUUAUCGGUAAAAGAUGGGCAUGCGUCUGAUUAGCUAGUUGGCGGGGUAACGGCCCACCAAGGCGACGAUCAGUAGGGGUUCUGAGAGGAAGGUCCCCCACACUGGCACUGAGAUACGGGCCAGACUCCUACGGGAGGCAGCAGUAGGGAAUAUUGGGCAAUGGUCGCAAGACUGACCCAGCCAUGCCGCGUGCAGGAAGACGGCCCUCUGGGUUGUAAACUGCUUUUAUCUGGGAAGAAAAAGUCCAUGCGUGGAAAAUUGCCGGUACCAGAUGAAUAAGCACCGGCUAACUCCGUGCCAGCAGCCGCGGUAAUACGGAGGGUGCAAGCGUUGUCCGGAUUUAUUGGGUUUAAAGGGUGCGUAGGCGGCUGAAUAAGUCAGCGGUGAAAGACUUCGGCUUAACCGGAGCAGUGCCGUUGAUACUGUUUGGCUUGAGUGUUGGAGGGGUACAUGGAAUUGAUGGUGUAGCGGUGAAAUGCAUAGAUACCAUCAGGAACACCGAUAGCGAAGGCAUUGUACUGGCCAACAACUGACGCUGAGGCACGAAAGUGUGGGGAUCGAACAGGAUUAGAUACCCUGGUAGUCCACACUGUAAACGAUGAUUACUCGCUGUUAUGGUGUAUGCUGUAGCGGCCAAGCGA